AUUGAACGCUGGCGGCAUGCCUUACACAUGCAAGUCGAACGGCAGCGCGGACUUCGGUCUGGCGGCGAGUGGCGAACGGGUGAGUAAUACAUCGGAACGUACCCUGUUGUGGGGGAUAACUAGUCGAAAGAUUAGCUAAUACCGCAUACGACCUGAGGGUGAAAGUGGGGGAUCGCAAGGCCUCACGCAGCAGGAGCGGCCGAUGUCUGAUUAGCUAGUUGGUGGGGUAAAGGCCCACCAAGGCGACGAUCAGUAGCUGGUCUGAGAGGACGAUCAGCCGCACUGGGACUGAGACACGGCCCAGACUCCUACGGGAGGCAGCAGUGGGGAAUUUUGGACAAUGGGGGCAACCCUGAUCCAGCAAUGCCGCGUGUGUGAAGAAGGCCUUCGGGUUGUAAAGCACUUUUGUCCGGAAAGAAAUCGCGCUGGUUAAUACCUGGCGUGGAUGACGGUACCGGAAGAAUAAGCACCGGCUAACUACGUG
Molecule: ribosomal RNA, 484 nt
Filed under: uncultured bacterium
Lineage: Bacteria
Description: partial 16S ribosomal RNA
Rfam family: Bacterial small subunit ribosomal RNA
Source: RNAcentral